Molecule: unclassified non-coding RNA, 200 nt
Filed under: Penicillium sp.
Lineage: Eukaryota; Fungi; Ascomycota; Eurotiomycetes; Eurotiales; Aspergillaceae
Description: partial internal transcribed spacer 2
Source: RNAcentral
UUAAGUUCAGCGGGUAUCCCUACCUGAUCCGAGGUCCACCGAGAAAAAUAGUGUGGGGACGACGGGCGCCGGCCAGGCCUCCGGAGCGGGUGACAAAGCCCCAUACGCUCGAAGCACCGGCGCGGCACCGCCACUGCCUUUCGGGUCCGUCCCCCCGCGAGGGAGGGGAGUCGACCCAACCACACAAGCCGGGCUUGAUG